Molecule: ribosomal RNA, 913 nt
Filed under: uncultured Nitrososphaerota archaeon
Lineage: Archaea; Thermoproteati; Nitrososphaerota
Description: bacterial SSU rRNA
Rfam family: Archaeal small subunit ribosomal RNA
Source: RNAcentral
UUCCGGUUGAUCCCGCCGGACCUGACUGCUAUCGGAUUGAUACUAAGCCAUGCGAGUCAUUGUAGCAAUACAAGGCAUACGGCUCAGUAACGCGUAGUCAACCUACCCUAUGGACGGAAAUAACCUCGGGAAACUGAGAAUAAUAUCCGAUAGAACAUUAUGCCUGGAAUGGUUUAUGUUCCAAAUGAUUUAUCGCCGUAGGAUGGGACUGCGGCCUAUCAGUUUGUUGGUGAGGUAAUGGCCCACCAAGACUAUUACAGGUACGGGCUCUGAGAGGAGUAGCCCGGAGAUGGGUACUGAGACACGGACCCAGGCCCUAUGGGGCGCAGCAGGCGAGAAAACUUUGCAAUGUGCGAAAGCACGACAAGGUUAAUCCGAGUGAUUUCUGCUAAAGAAAUCUUUUGUUAGUCCUAGAAACACUAACGAAUAAGGGGUGGGCAAGUUCUGGUGUCAGCCGCCGCGGUAAAACCAGCACCUCAAGUGGUCAGGAUGAUUAUUGGGCCUAAAGCAUCCGUAGCCGGCUCUGUAAGUCCUCGGUUAAAUCUGUACGCUUAACGUACAGGCUGCCGGGAAUACUGCAUAGCUAGGGAGUGGGAGAGGUAGACGGUACUCGGUAGGAAGGGGUAAAAUCCUUUGAUCUAUUGAUGACCACCUGUGGCGAAGGCGGUCUACCAGAACACGUCCGACGGUGAGGGAUGAAAGCUGGGGGAGCAAACCGGAUUAGAUACCCGGGUAGUCCCAGCUGUAAACUAUGCAAACUCAGUGAUGCAUUGGCUUGUGGCCAAUGCAGUGCUGCAGGGAAGCCGUUAAGUUUGCCGCCUGGGAAGUACGUACGCAAGUAUGAAACUUAAAGGAAUUGGCGGGGGAGCACCACAAGGGGUGAAGCCUGCGGKUCAAUUGGAGUCAACGCCGG